RNAcentral lists this ribosomal RNA (98 nucleotides) under uncultured eukaryote. RNAcentral describes it as "partial small subunit ribosomal RNA". The record is from RNAcentral.
UCGCUCCUACCGAUUUCGAGUGGUCCGGUGAGCCUUUUGGACUAGUUGAAUUUAUUCUUCUGGAAAGUCAAGCAAACCUUAUCACUUAGAGGAAGGAG